Molecule: ribosomal RNA, 774 nt
Filed under: uncultured Neocallimastigales
Lineage: Eukaryota; Fungi; Neocallimastigomycota; Neocallimastigomycetes; Neocallimastigales
Description: partial large subunit ribosomal RNA
Rfam family: Eukaryotic large subunit ribosomal RNA
Source: RNAcentral
GUAGUCUCGCACAGAUGCAUAUCAAUAAGCGGAGGAAAAGAAACUAACAAGGAUUCCCCUAGUAACGGCGAGUGAAGCGGGAAGAGCUCAAAUUUGAAAUCUUAAAGGGUUUCCCUUUACGAAUUGUAGUUUAAAGAAGUGUUUUCUGUUGAGGUUUUGGUAAAAGUUCUUUGGAAUAGGACAUCAUAGAGGGUGAGAAUCCCGUAUUUGACCUUUACUUUCAACUUUGUGAUACACUUUCAAAGAGUCGGAUUGUUUGGGAAUGCAGUCCAAAAUGGGUGGUAAAUUUCACCUAAAGCUAAAUAUUGGCGAGAGACCGAUAGCGAACAAGUACCGUGAGGGAAAGAUGAAAAGAACUUUGAAAAGAGAGUUAAACUGUACGUGAAAUUGUCAAAAGGGAAGCGUUUGACACCAGUGUUGUUUUUCUGAAAAUCAAUUAAAGAACUGUUUAUGCUAAGUUGUUUAGACUUUAUCAGCUAACUGUUUAGUUUUGAGCUUUUCUUUAAUGCACUUUUCAGUUAACAAGUCAACAUCAAUUUCUUUUGCUGUAAAAAAGCUUGAGGAAGGUGGCUUGAGAUUCGUCUUAAGUGUUUAUAGCCUCUUGCCUAUGCAGUCGGAGAGAUUGAGGUCUGCAGCGUAGAUCCUUCGGGGCUAAAUGCAUUUGUGCUAAGUUAUAACAUUUUAUAGACAACUUGUUGACUAUGAUUUGUCUUGUAGCUUACUCGCUUAUGUUAUUUUACCUACGCUUAGGAUGUUGAGCGCAUGUCUCUCUCU